This 352-nucleotide unclassified non-coding RNA is filed under the name soil metagenome. RNAcentral's name for it is "partial contains 5.8S ribosomal RNA, internal transcribed spacer 2, and large subunit ribosomal RNA". The stretch from base 1 to 120 matches the Rfam family "5.8S ribosomal RNA", at positions 35 to 154 of the family's 154-position model. The record is from RNAcentral.
GAUGAAGAACGUAGCGAAAUGCGAUAAGUAAUGUGAAUUGCAGAAUUCAGUGAAUCAUCGAAUCUUUGAACGCACAUUGCGCCCGCCAGUAUUCUGGCGGGCAUGCCUGUUCGAGCGUCAUUACAACCCUCAGGCCCCCGGGCCUGGCGUUGGGGAUCGGCAGAAGCCCCCCGUGGGCACACGCCGUCCCUCAAAUACAGUGGCGGUCCCGCCGCAGCUUCCAUUGCGUAGUAGCUAACACCUCGCAACUGGAGAGCGGCGCGGCCAUGCCGUAAAACACCCAACUUCUGAAUGUUGACCUCGAAUCAGGUAGGAAUACCCGCUGAACUUAAGCAUAUCAAUAAGCGGAGGA